RNAcentral lists this unclassified non-coding RNA (253 nucleotides) under uncultured Dehalococcoidia bacterium. RNAcentral describes it as "contains 16S-23S intergenic spacer region". It matches the Rfam family "Bacterial small subunit ribosomal RNA", at positions 524 to 776 of the family's 1533-position model. Lineage: Bacteria; Bacillati; Chloroflexota; Dehalococcoidia. The record is from RNAcentral.
CACGUAGGAUCCGAAGGUUGUCCGGAUUUACUGGGCGUAAAGGGCGCGUAGGCGGUCUGUCAAGUCCCAUGUGAAAUCUCCCGGCUCAACUGGGAGGGGUCAUGGGAAACUGGCAGGCUUGAGGGCAGCAGAGGGAAGCGGAAUUCCGGGAGUAGUGGUGAAAUGCGUAAAUACCCGGAGGAACACCAGUGGCGAAGGCGGCUUCCUGGGCUGUUCCUGACGCUGAGGCGCGAAAGCGUGGGGAGCAAACCGG